CCGGUCCCGGUCCCGCUGCCCGCGCUGCGGCUGCUCCGCGGUGUCAGCGCCCGGCCCGGUGACUGCCCCGCCCGGCCUCGGGGCGGGUGAAGGGGAAUGCGUCGGCUGAACCCGGGAUCGCCUGGGAGGCGCCUGGUCCUGCCCGGGACCGGCCUGGCACCGUCUGCUCGUCCUUCCGGCCAGGGCGGCUCCGGUGCUCAGUUACCGCACGUGGCAGCAGAGUUCCCUGUGAGGGGGAAGCCGUAAGGCCCGGUCCCUGCCUCGCCCAGCACCGACCUCAGGGAUCUCACCUCCCCCCGGACCGUUUCUCGCCUGUCAAAGGUGGCUGCGAUUUCCAUCCGUGCAGGGAGGAUCCGAACGCUGCGGCCUUCUGAGCUUGCAGAGGCUCUGAUGCUUUGGAGGGUUCCUCUGUGCAUUUUGCAGAGCAAUCUCAUUAUCCUCCGCAACAUUUCCCUUGCUGUGAUCAAGCCUCAGGAGAAACCAGCCCCGUGUCCUUGCAGAGCAGGCCUCUGGGCAGGGGCCCACUGCCCCACAGCCUGUGCUGCAGCAGCGGGGAGGGAGCAGCGUGGUGACCUGCUGCCCCCGAGGAUUUCCUUGUUUGCUUUUCCACUGGAACUGGGACAGACACGAGACCGCAGCAACGUGCGGACCCCGUUCCCUGGAAUGUUUUCUUUCAUCCCUAAUCACUUCAUCAAAAUCCAUAAAUUCGCUUGUUAAGACUAAAGCACAAACGUGACUGUACUUUGUGCCUUCCUGGCCAGUGUUUCUUUUGGCACGUGGAACAUCAAACCUUUUUCCUGAAAACAUGGAUGAUGACACCGGGCAAAGAUUCGGUGAAGCCGGACAGCAAGGCCACUUGUGUUCCAGGCCCACUGCCUGCUCCCAGAAUCCCUGCUUCCUUUUCAUACGGUGGAGAAGAUUCAGAGAGUAAACCAGUGGUUUGUAGUUCUGUGUUGCCUCUGGAAAUCUCCAUCCCAGGCUCAUUUCCCAGGGCUGGGUGCUGUUAGCACCUCAUUGGCCGGGGCAGGCCAGGAUCCCUGUGGGAAGGGAGCCUUGAUGGAGAUGCCAAGGCUGCGGCCCUGCCAGUGCUCUCUCCUGGCUCCAGCAGGGGAGAUUAGCACCUUCUCUAAUUAGCUCUGCCAUGGUGGAUCCCACUCUGUGUCAGUGUCACCACCACAGCUCCUUCAGCUACUGCUCUCCAGACCAUCCCAGGAACUGUGGAAUCCUCACUGGUCUUGUCUGACCUGGAGCAGUUGGGGUGGGAAGGGAUCUGCUGGGGAGAUCCAAAGGGAUGACACCUUUGCUGGAGGGUGUGAGGACAGGAGGUGCUGGCAGCCUUGGGGGGCAAGGACAGGAGGCUGAGGAGAUGGACCUGCCACAUUUCCUGAGGGAAGCCUGUUGGAGGAGGCAGGUGGUCCCGGGAUGGCUUUGUCCAGGUGUCUCAGAGGGAAAACUCGCUCUGUUCCCCUUGGGAGAGGGCUCCAGGGAUGCUCUUUUUCUGAGCUUUGAGGAGAAAGAAAUCAAGUUGCUCAGAAUCCUGAAACCUGUCCUGGGCUGGUGGGAUCUGCUGGAGUGGCUGCAUCUGGCUGGAGCCAGGUGUGUUGUAGGUGCAGGAGCUACGGAGCUUCUCAGAAAAGCUGGAUGUUUCUAGUCAGGAGAGCCCGGUGGUGUUGGAAGGGCUGUAAGGCUGUUGCUGUGGCCUCUCUGAGCUGAGGGGACAGUGGGUGACGUUCAGGAGCCCCAGCCCUGCCACCUGCUCUGGCACCUCGUGACAGAAAAAGGGCAACACCCUUUUGCUCCUGAAUAUUUCAUAGGGAAAAGUAUUUUAACCAAAGCAAGUCGCUCCCUGCUCUCCCCUCGGCCCAGGAAGCAGCCGUGGGGGUGGCUCUGCAUCCUGCCUCCUGUGGGACAUGGCGGUGCCACUGUCCCCCACCCCCUCUCCACUGCCACCCCUGCUCCCUCACACCCAGUAUUUUUAUCUCCCUUUGUUUGCCAAUAAAAAUUCCCUCCCAGUUUUACUGUUUUCCAUUUGA
Long non-coding RNA from Apus apus (common swift), 2033 nucleotides. RefSeq lists it as uncharacterized. NCBI's taxonomy places the organism in Eukaryota, Metazoa, Chordata, Aves, Apodiformes, Apodidae. The transcript has 2 exons. The record is from RefSeq and is a predicted model, not a curated record.